GGGGUCGGCGGUUGGUCGGACGGAGCCACGUGCCACGUCGCGUGGGGGUGGAAGCUAAAGCCUGCGUAGCCGCGCUGUGUCUCCGGCUUCGGCGUCUCCGGCGCGGCCCCUCCGCUCUCCGCGUCCUUCCAUUCCUUUCUGCGUGUCCGGGCGCCCGCUAGGAUCUGAGCCACUUCGAGGAGGGAGCGCCUGAGCCUCCGCGAGAAAAUUCGGCAAAGAUGUCUGAAUAUAUUCGGGUAACAGAAGAUGAGAACGAUGAGCCCAUUGAGAUACCAUCAGAAGACGAUGGUACAGUGUUGUUGUCCACAGUUACAGCCCAGUUUCCAGGGGCAUGCGGCCUGCGCUACCGGAAUCCCGUGUCUCAGUGUAUGCGGGGUGUUCGGCUGGUGGAAGGAAUCCUGCAUGCCCCGGAUGCCGGCUGGGGAAAUCUGGUGUACGUUGUCAACUAUCCGAAAGAUAACAAAAGAAAAAUGGAUGAGACAGAUGCUUCCUCAGCAGUGAAGGUGAAAAGAGCAGUCCAGAAAACAUCUGAUCUAAUAGUGUUGGGUCUCCCCUGGAAAACAACAGAACAAGAUCUUAAAGAUUAUUUCAGCACUUUUGGAGAGGUUCUUAUGGUUCAGGUCAAGAAAGAUCUUAAAACUGGUCACUCAAAAGGGUUUGGCUUUGUUCGGUUUACGGAAUAUGAAACCCAAGUGAAAGUAAUGUCACAACGACAUAUGAUAGAUGGACGAUGGUGUGACUGUAAACUUCCCAAUUCUAAGCAAAGCCCAGAUGAACCUUUGAGAAGCAGAAAGGUGUUUGUUGGGCGUUGUACAGAGGAUAUGACUGCUGAAGAGCUUCAACAAUUUUUCUGUCAGUAUGGAGAAGUAGUAGAUGUCUUCAUUCCCAAACCAUUCAGGGCUUUUGCCUUUGUUACCUUUGCAGAUGAUAAGGUUGCCCAGUCUCUUUGUGGAGAGGAUUUGAUCAUUAAAGGAAUCAGCGUGCAUAUAUCCAAUGCUGAACCUAAGCAUAAUAGCAAUAGACAGUUAGAAAGAAGUGGAAGAUUUGGUGGUAAUCCAGGUGGCUUUGGGAAUCAGGUUCAUCUCAUUUCAAAUGUUUAUGGAAGAAGCACUUCAUUGAAAGUAGUGCUGUAAAUAUUCUGCCAUAGGAAUACUUCUGUCUACAUGCUUUCUCAUCCAAGAAUUCGUCAUCACGCUGCACAGGCUGCGUCUUUGACGCCCUGAAUGCAAAGAAUUCAUAGCAGUUAAUUCCCCUUUUUGACCCUUUUGAGAUGGAACUUUCAUAAAGUUUCUUGGCAGUAGUUUAUUUUGCUUCAAAUAAACUUAUUUGAAAAGUUGUCUCAAGUCAAAUGGAUUCAUCACCUGUCAUGCAUUGACACCUGAUACCCAGACUUAAUUGCUAUUUGUUCUUGCAUUGUCCAAAGUGAAAGUUUUUUCAUGGGUUAUUCUGUUUUUAAUCUAGUUUUUCAUAAGUCUGGGUGACAGAACCUAAAAUGGUAAGCAGUUACCCUCCAGCUUGUUCUGAGUGCCUCUGUGCAUUUGAGUGAUUUUUCUAUUGACAUGGCUGUAUAAGUCUCCGUUGGGAACUCAUGCCUUCUAAAAAUACUAUUUGGGAGGGGGCAAAACAGUUGUUUCCAAAUGCUUUGUAGCAGAGCAUAUCAAUGGGAAAGAAGGGAUGAUAAACAUUCUGGGGGAUUUAAAAGUGGAAUUAAUUGCAAUAGGGAUGAAGUAGAAGAAACCAUGUGCCUGAAAUCCAUUCAGAAGCCUGAUAGCUUUAAGAACUAGUAGGGUGGGUUGUCUAUCUGUGGCAGUCUUUAAGUGAGAUGGGCUUGUCCCCUCUGGGCUGUAGGGGCAUGAAGUGACAGUGCUCACAAAAUCAGAUUAGACUCUCACAAUGCAUUGUUAAGAAUGUAAAAGCAAUAAUACCUUGAUUGUUGUACUUUCCUGUAACUACUGAGAGCUGGGGAACUCCUUUUCUAGCUGGAAAGAUGUGACCAUUUUUGUUAGUUUCCCCACUGCCCUUACCUAAAUAGAUGAUGAUAAAUAGGCUUGUCAUUUUGCAAAUUGCGUGUUUUGAAAUUUUAUAUCCUCUAGACUUGUGAACACGGUGUUUCAUUAUUAAGUAUCCUCUGUAAAAGGAUCUUGAGUUAUUGUAAAUUUUUUUCUCUGCAUCUAAAUCUGCAUGAUUUCCAAACCCUGUACAUCUGAAUUUUGCAUUUUAGCACUUGCACUAUUACUCAGCAGCAGUAACAUGGUAACAUUAAAAUGGUUUUCGGGGACCUCCAAAGACUAAACUGGCAAGCCGUCCAGGAGUCCUGGGGUAAGUUACUUGUCGAUGGCAUGGUUUUGAUCCCUUGUUUGCACCUGUUAAAGAGUUACUACUGGUCAUCUAGAAGGCUUUCAAUGUUGAGUAGCCUUUUAAUAUGUUUAUGGUAUGAUGUAGCUGUAGAUAGUUAUUUGCCCUACAUGAAGUUUUAGAAAUAAACUACUUGGCAAAAAUUUGGUUUUGAAAAUCUAUUUGGUUAUCAAAAUGCAUUCAUUCUUAAACAAUCUUUGAACCGCAGUUGAAUAAAAAGUUUUCUUGC
This is an RNA transcript of Microtus oregoni (creeping vole), 2584 nucleotides long. It is a transcript of the gene named TAR DNA-binding protein 43, with no coding region annotated. The transcript has 8 exons. The record is from RefSeq and is a predicted model, not a curated record. NCBI's taxonomy places the organism in Eukaryota, Metazoa, Chordata, Mammalia, Rodentia, Cricetidae.